GGGAAUUUUUGUCAAUGGGGGCAACCCUGAACAAGCAACGCCGCGUGAAGGACGAAGACCUUCGGGUUGUAAACUUCUGUCGGAGGGGACGAAAGCAGUGGUGGUUAAUACCCACUAUUGUUGACGGUACACGGCGAAGAAGCACCGGCUAACUCCGUGCCAGCAGCCGCGGUAAGACGGAGGGUGCUAGCGUUGUUCGGAAUCACUGGGCGUAAAGGGCGCGUAGGCGGCUGUGGCAGUCGGGUGUGAAAGCCCGGAGCUCAACUCCGGAAUUGCACUCGAGACGCCACGGCUGGAGGCCGGAAGAGGAGGGUGGAAUACCCAGUGUAGAGGUGAAAUUCGUAGAUAUUGGGUGGAACACCGGUGGCGAAAGCGGCUCUCUGGUCCGGACCUGACGCUGAGGCGCGAAAGCGUGGGGAGCAAA
This 424-nucleotide ribosomal RNA is filed under the name uncultured bacterium. RNAcentral's name for it is "bacterial SSU rRNA". It matches the Rfam family "Bacterial small subunit ribosomal RNA", at positions 357 to 772 of the family's 1533-position model. The record is from RNAcentral.